This 756-nucleotide long non-coding RNA is filed under the name Anolis carolinensis (green anole). RNAcentral's name for it is "lncRNA (ENSACAG00000021982.2)". Lineage: Eukaryota; Metazoa; Chordata; Lepidosauria; Squamata; Anolidae. The record is from RNAcentral.
AUGGAGGGACUGCACCCACCACCCUCCCCUCCCUGCUCGGCCCUUCUGCCUUCCCUGCUCUUCUUAUUUAUCCUGCUCUGCAGCCUCGUCUCAGGAGAAGCCGGGAAGGAAAGCAAAGGGAUUUUUCCAGGACCGGAAAAAGUCAAGAGCUGGAAUGUGUCCCCCAAAAGUGGGGCAGCUUAUGAGAACUUCAGUUUCCACCGUCUUAAGGUCUCGCGGAACCUGGUUUGGACAAAACGGCACCGACAAAGAGCCUCGAAUUGGCCAAAAUGGCUUUCAGGUGGAUUCAGACAUUUAGCCGGGCAGCCGGAGACAACAACUCCGCCUCCCUCCGUAUCGAAGCCCGAGACCCCCGUCUCGACCCCUGUUUCGACCCCGGAGGUCAGGGCGGGAUGCCGGUGCCCGGAGGAGGCAGAGGUGGCCAAAGCGCAGCAGGGGAAGGCAGAGGAGGCCCGUCGGAGGGGUGUCCGCCUCCCGACGCCUCGGACGGAGGAGGCCGCCUGGGCCGCCAGCGCCUUGACCUUCCUGCUGGUGGUGCUGACCGUGGCCAUCCUCUACACCCGGCUCCACCGCAAAUGUCGCCGCGGGCGUAGUCUCUACUGGAUGGUCAGCGGCGAGGAGGACCGCGAGACCGUGGCCGGUGAGUCUGCUGCUCUUUAUGAACAGAUAAUAGUAAGAAUAAACGUUAUUGUCGAAGGCUUUCACGAGGAUGCCUGCCAUAGAUGUGGGCGAAAUGUCAGGAGAGAAUGUUUCUGA